This 623-nucleotide ribosomal RNA is filed under the name uncultured bacterium. RNAcentral's name for it is "bacterial SSU rRNA". It matches the Rfam family "Bacterial small subunit ribosomal RNA", at positions 49 to 651 of the family's 1533-position model. The record is from RNAcentral.
CUACCAUGCAGUCGACGAGAAGGUUCCUUCGGGAACUGAGUAAAGUGGNGUAAAGGNGAGUAACGCGUAGAUAAUCUACCCUCUUGUCCGGGAUAACAUCGGGAAACCGGUGCUAAUACCGGAUAUCUUCCAUUGCUGUCGGGUGAUGGAGGAAAGGUGGCCUCCCUAUUCAAGCUUCCGCAAGGGGACGAGUCUGCGUACCAUUAGCUUGUUGGUGGGGUAAAGGCCUACCAAGGCGACGAUGGUUAGCGGGGUCUGAGAGGAUGAUCCGCCACACUGGCACUGGAACACGGGCCAGACUCCUACGGGAGGCAGCAGUGAGGAAUAUUGCGCAAUGGGGGAAACCCUGACGCAGCGACGCCGCGUGAGUGAGGAAGGCCUUCGGGUCGUAAAGCUCUGUCAGGAGGGAAGAAAUGUUAUACGGUUAAUACCCGUAUAGCUUGACGGUACCUCCAGAGGAAGCACCGGCUAACUCCGUGCCAGCAGCCGCGGUAAUACGGAGGGUGCAAGCGUUGUUCGGAAUCACUGGGCGUAAAGGGCGCGCAGGCGGUUUGUUAAGUCAGAUGUGAAAGCCCACGGCUCAACCGUGGAAGUGCAUUUGAAACUGGCAGACUUGAGUACCA